AGUCGCGUGUCCGAGUGGUUAGGAAGAGGUCUGCAAAACCUUUUACGGUAGUUCGAAUCUACCCGCGACUU
This 71-nucleotide transfer RNA is filed under the name Daejeonella lutea. Its description in RNAcentral is "Pedobacter sp. N7d-4 tRNA". It matches the Rfam family "tRNA". Rfam says of the family: Transfer RNA (tRNA) molecules are approximately 80 nucleotides in length. Lineage: Bacteria; Pseudomonadati; Bacteroidota; Sphingobacteriia; Sphingobacteriales; Sphingobacteriaceae. The record is from Rfam by way of RNAcentral.